This 524-nucleotide ribosomal RNA is filed under the name uncultured bacterium. Its description in RNAcentral is "bacterial SSU rRNA". It matches the Rfam family "Bacterial small subunit ribosomal RNA", at positions 93 to 596 of the family's 1533-position model. The record is from RNAcentral.
GAGUGGCAAACGGGUGAGUAACACGUGGGUGACCUGCCUUCGAGUGGGGGAUAACGUCCCGAAAGGGACGCUAAUACCGCAUGACAUCCUGGCUUUGAACAGGCGGAGAUCAAAGCCGGGGAUCGCAAGACCUGGCGCUCAAAGAGGGGCCCGCGCCUGAUUAGCUAGUUGGUGGGGUAAUGGCUCACCAAGGCAACGAUCAGUAUCCGGCCUGAGAGGGCGGACGGACACACUGGGACUGAGACACGGCCCAGACUCCUACGGGAGGCAGCAGUGGGGAAUUGUUCGCAAUGGGCGCAAGCCUGACGACGCAACGCCGCGUGGAGGAUGAAGACCUUCGGGUCGUAAACUCCUUUCGUUCGAGACGAAUGGCCUUCGGGUGAAUAGCCCGGAGGAAUGACGGUACCGAGAGAAGAAGCCCCGGCUAACUCCGUGCCAGCAGCCGCGGUAAUACGGAGGGGGCAAGCGUUGUUCGGAAUUACUGGGCGUAAAGGGCUCGUAGGUGGCCAACUAAGUCAGACGUG